RNAcentral lists this transfer RNA (70 nucleotides) under Dipodomys ordii (Ord's kangaroo rat). It matches the Rfam family "tRNA". Rfam says of the family: Transfer RNA (tRNA) molecules are approximately 80 nucleotides in length. Their secondary structure includes four short double-helical elements and three loops (D, anti-codon, and T loops). The record is from Rfam by way of RNAcentral. Lineage: Eukaryota; Metazoa; Chordata; Mammalia; Rodentia; Heteromyidae.
GGUAAUGUGGCUUAGUGGUAGAGCGCUUGCCUAGCAUGCAUGAAACUCUGGGUUUGAUUCCUAGGUACCA